CCAUAGCUCAGAUGGGAGAGCACCUGCUUUGCAAGCAGGGGGUCGGCGGUUCGAUCCCGCCUGGCCCCACCAG
This 73-nucleotide transfer RNA is filed under the name uncultured Chromatiales bacterium. RNAcentral's name for it is "tRNA-Ala". It matches the Rfam family "tRNA". From Rfam's summary of the family: Transfer RNA (tRNA) molecules are approximately 80 nucleotides in length. Their secondary structure includes four short double-helical elements and three loops (D, anti-codon, and T loops). The record is from RNAcentral. Lineage: Bacteria; Pseudomonadati; Pseudomonadota; Gammaproteobacteria; Chromatiales.